RNAcentral lists this ribosomal RNA (400 nucleotides) under uncultured bacterium. Its description in RNAcentral is "bacterial SSU rRNA". It matches the Rfam family "Bacterial small subunit ribosomal RNA", at positions 355 to 752 of the family's 1533-position model. The record is from RNAcentral.
UAAGGAAUAUUGGUCAAUGGACGGAAGUCUGAACCAGCCAUCCCGCGUGCAGGAUGACGGCCCUAUGGGUUGUAAACUGCUUUUAGCAGAGACGAAACGCCUUCAUUAAUGGGGGUCUGACGGUAUCUGCAGAAUAAGCACCGGCUAACUCCGUGCCAGCAGCCGCGGUAAUACGGAGGGUGCAAGCGUUAUCCGGAAUCACUGGGUUUAAAGGGUGCGUAGGCGGGGAAUUAAGUCAGUGGUGAAAGCCUGUCGCUUAACGAUAGAAUUGCCAUUGAUACUGAUUUUCUUGAAUUGGGUUGAGGUUAGCGGAAUGUGACAUGUAGCGGUGAAAUGCAUAGAUAUGUCAUGGAACACCAAUUGCGAAGGCAGCUAGCUGGGCCUUGAUUGACGCUGAGGC